This 393-nucleotide ribosomal RNA is filed under the name uncultured bacterium. RNAcentral describes it as "bacterial SSU rRNA". It matches the Rfam family "Bacterial small subunit ribosomal RNA", at positions 28 to 420 of the family's 1533-position model. The record is from RNAcentral.
GAUGAACGCUAGCGGCAGGCUUAAUACAUGCAAGUCGAGGGGCAGCACGGUUAGCAAUAACUGGUGGCGACCGGCGCACGGGUGCGUAACACGUAUACAAUCUACCUUAAACAGGGGGAUAGCCUUUCGAAAGAGAGAUUAAUACCCCGUAAUAAAUUGAACGGCAUCGUUUGAUUUUGAAAGCUCCGGCGGUUUGAGAUGAGUAUGCGUCUGAUUAGCUAGUUGGUGAGGUAACGGCUCACCAAGGCGACGAUCAGUAGGGGAUCUGAGAGGACUAACCCCACACUGGUACUGAGACACGGACCAGACUCCUACGGGAGGCAGCAGUAAGGAAUAUAGGUCAAUGGAGGCAACUCUGAACCAGCCAUGCCGCGUGCAGGAUGACGGCCCUAU